This 253-nucleotide ribosomal RNA is filed under the name uncultured bacterium. RNAcentral's name for it is "partial 16S ribosomal RNA". It matches the Rfam family "Bacterial small subunit ribosomal RNA", at positions 524 to 776 of the family's 1533-position model. The record is from RNAcentral.
UACGUAGGGCGCAAGCGUUAUCCGGAAUUAUUGGGCGUAAAGAGCUCGUAGGCGGUUUGUCGCGUCUGCCGGGAAAGUCCGGGGCUCAACUCCGGAUCUGCGGUGGGUACGGGCAGACUAGAGUGAUGUAGGGGAGACUGGAAUUCCUGGUGUAGCGGUGAAAUGCGCAGAUAUCAGGAGGAACACCGAUGGCGAAGGCAGGUCUCUGGGCAUUAACUGACGCUGAGGAGCGAAAGCAUGGGGAGCGAACAGG